AACUUUUAACAAUGGAUCUCUUGGCUCUCGCAUCGAUGAAGAACGCAGCGAAAUGCGAUAAGUAGGGUGAAUUGCAGAAUUCAGUGAAUCAUCGAAUCUUUGAACGCACCUUGCGCUCCUUGGUAUUCCGAGGAGCAUGCCUGUUUGAGAGUCAUUAAUAUAUCAACCUUCGCUUGUUGAGUUGUUGGGAUGUGGGGGUUUGCUGGCCUCUUUAAAAGGUUUUUCAACUCCCCUGAAAUGCAUUAGCAGAAACAGCCCUGUUCAUUGGUGUGAUAACUAUCUACGCUAUUGAAUGUGAAGGGCAGUUUGGCUUUCUAACGGUCCUUGGACAGCUCAUCAUUAAUGUGACCUCAACUCAGGUAGGACUACCCGCUGAACUUAAGCAUAUCAAUAAGCGGAGGCU
This 403-nucleotide unclassified non-coding RNA is filed under the name uncultured Cortinarius. Its description in RNAcentral is "sequence contains ITS2". The stretch from base 1 to 154 matches the Rfam family "5.8S ribosomal RNA". The record is from RNAcentral. Lineage: Eukaryota; Fungi; Basidiomycota; Agaricomycetes; Agaricales; Cortinariaceae.